Non-coding RNA from Mycena leptocephala, 91 nucleotides. NCBI's taxonomy places the organism in Eukaryota, Fungi, Basidiomycota, Agaricomycetes, Agaricales, Mycenaceae. The record is from the annotation of a GenBank genome assembly.
GGCACUAUGGCCGAGUGGUUAAGGCGACAGAUUUGAAUUCUUCACUAUCUGUUGGUAUAUUACCGCGCAGGUUCGAACCCUGCUGGUGUCG